This 742-nucleotide ribosomal RNA is filed under the name Bacillus subtilis. RNAcentral's name for it is "bacterial SSU rRNA". It matches the Rfam family "Bacterial small subunit ribosomal RNA", at positions 61 to 786 of the family's 1533-position model. Lineage: Bacteria; Bacillati; Bacillota; Bacilli; Caryophanales; Bacillaceae. The record is from RNAcentral.
GUCGAGCGGACAGAUGGGAGCUUGCUCCCUGAUGUUAGCGGCGGACGGGUGAGUAACACGUGGGUAACCUGCCUGUAAGACUGGGAUAACUCCGGGAAACCGGGGCUAAUACCGGAUGCUUGUUUGAACCGCAUGGUUCAAACAUAAAAGGUGGCUUCGGCUACCACUUACAGAUGGACCCGCGGCGCAUUAGCUAGUUGGUGAGGUAACGGCUCACCAAGGCAACGAUGCGUAGCCGACCUGAGAGGGUGAUCGGCCACACUGGGACUGAGACACGGCCCAGACUCCUACGGGAGGCAGCAGUAGGGAAUCUUCCGCAAUGGACGAAAGUCUGACGGAGCAACGCCGCGUGAGUGAUGAAGGUUUUCGGAUCGUAAAGCUCUGUUGUUAGGGAAGAACAAGUACCGUUCGAAUAGGGCGGUACCUUGACGGUACCUAACCAGAAAGCCACGGCUAACUACGUGCCAGCAGCCGCGGUAAUACGUAGGUGGCAAGCGUUGUCCGGAAUUAUUGGGCGUAAAGGGCUCGCAGGCGGUUUCUUAAGUCUGAUGUGAAAGCCCCCGGCUCAACCGGGGAGGGUCAUUGGAAACUGGGGAACUUGAGUGCAGAAGAGGAGAGUGGAAUUCCACGUGUAGCGGUGAAAUGCGUAGAGAUGUGGAGGAACACCAGUGGCGAAGCGACUCUCUGGUCUGUAACUGACGCUGAGGAGCGAAAGCGUGGGGAGCGAACAGGAUUAGAUACC